RNAcentral lists this ribosomal RNA (757 nucleotides) under uncultured bacterium. Its description in RNAcentral is "bacterial SSU rRNA". It matches the Rfam family "Bacterial small subunit ribosomal RNA", at positions 130 to 872 of the family's 1533-position model. The record is from RNAcentral.
CCUCUUGUUCGGGAUAACUGCUGGAAACGGCAGCUAAUACCGGAUAAGCUCCCCCAAUUGUAUGGGGAGGAAAGGAGGCCUCUUCAUGAAAGCUUCCGCGAGGGGAUGAGUCCGCGUCCCAUUAGCUAGUUGGUGAGGUAACGGCCCACCAAGGCAACGAUGGGUAGCCGGUCUAAGAGGAUGACCGGCCACACUGGAACUGAAACACGGUCCAGACUCCUACGGGAGGCAGCAGUGGGGAAUAUUGCGCAAUGGACGAAAGUCUGACGCAGCGACGCCGCGUGAGGGAUGAAGGUUUUCGGAUCGUAAACCUCUGUCAGGAGGGAAGAAAGCGCAUGGCGCCAAUCAGCCAUGCGUUGACGGUACCUCCAAAGGAAGCGCCGGCUAACUCCGUGCCAGCAGCCGCGGUAAUACGGAGGGCGCGAGCGUUAAUCGGAAUUACUGGGCGUAAAGCGCGCGUAGGCUGUUGUGUAAGUUGGGGGUGAAAUCCCACGGCUCAACCGUGGAACAGCCCUUGAUACUGCGCGACUUGAAUCCGGGAGAGGGUGGCGGAAUUCCAGGUGUAGGAGUGAAAUCCGUAGAUAUCUGGAGGAACAUCAGUGGCGAAGGCGGCCACCUGGACCGGUAUUGACGCUGAGGCGCGAAAGCGUGGGGAGCAAACAGGAUUAGAUACCCUGGUAGUCCACGCUGUAAACGAUGGAUGCUGGAUGUCGGGGAGUAAUCCCCGGUGUCGUAGCCAACGCGAUAAGCAUCCCGC